Unclassified non-coding RNA from Gorilla gorilla gorilla (western lowland gorilla), 285 nucleotides. It matches the Rfam family "Metazoan signal recognition particle RNA". From Rfam's summary of the family: The signal recognition particle (SRP) is a universally conserved ribonucleoprotein. It is involved in the co-translational targeting of proteins to membranes. NCBI's taxonomy places the organism in Eukaryota, Metazoa, Chordata, Mammalia, Primates, Hominidae. The record is from Ensembl.
UCCAGGCAUGGUGGAAUGUACCUGUAGUCCCAGCUACUAGGGAGGUUGAAGUGGGAGGAUUGCUUGAGUCCAGGAGUUUUGGGCUGUAGUGCACUAAACCGAUCAGGUGUCUGCAUUAAGUUUGGCAUCAAUAUAGUGACCUCCCAGGAAUGAGGGACCACCAGGUUGCCUAAGUAGGAGUGAACCAGAGCAGGUCAGAACUCCCAUUUUGAGCAUUAGUAGGAUCGUGCCUGUGAAUAGCCACUACACUCCUGUCUGGUUAACAUACCAAGACCCUUGCCUUUU